GACGAACGCUGGCGGCGUGCCUAAUACAUGCAAGUCGAACGCACUCUCGUUUAGAUUGAAGGAGCUUGCUCCUGAUUGAUAAACAUUUGAGUGAGUGGCGGACGGGUGAGUAACACGUGGGUAACCUGCCCUAAAGUGGGGGAUAACAUUUGGAAACAGAUGCUAAUACCGCAUAAAACCUAAACACCGCAUGGUGUAGGGUUGAAAGAUGGUUUCGGCUAUCACUUUAGGAUGGACCCGCGGUGCAUUAGUUAGUUGGUGAGGUAAAGGCUCACCAAGACCGUGAUGCAUAGCCGACCUGAGAGGGUAAUCGGCCACACUGGGACUGAGACACGGCCCAGACUCCUACGGGAGGGCAGCAGUAGGGAAUCUUCCAC
RNAcentral lists this ribosomal RNA (377 nucleotides) under uncultured bacterium. RNAcentral's name for it is "bacterial SSU rRNA". It matches the Rfam family "Bacterial small subunit ribosomal RNA", at positions 28 to 369 of the family's 1533-position model. The record is from RNAcentral.